UACGGGGGGAGCAAGCGUUGUUCGGAUUUACUGGGCGUAAAGCGCACGCAGGCGGAUGAUUAAGUCAGCUGUGAAAGCUCCCGGCUCAACUGGGAAGGGUCGGCUGAAACUGGUCGUCUGGAGGGCAACAGAGGAGUGUAGAAUUGCGGGUGUAGUGGUGAAAUGCGUAGAUAUCCGCAGGAAUACCAGUGGCGAAGGCGGCACUCUGGGUUGUACCUGACGCUGAUGUGCGAAGGCUAGGGGAGCGAACAGG
This 253-nucleotide ribosomal RNA is filed under the name uncultured bacterium. RNAcentral describes it as "partial 16S ribosomal RNA". It matches the Rfam family "Bacterial small subunit ribosomal RNA", at positions 524 to 776 of the family's 1533-position model. The record is from RNAcentral.